CAAAAAAAGCCCUCUCCUCGAAAAGCACUGUUUUCUCAGCCCAGUUCAUGAUACUAAGACUGACAGCAGGGAGAAUUUAGAAAGUCAGAGUCCAUUUUCCUGAGCUGGAAUUUACCCAAGACACCAAGGUUAACACUCCAUUGCUGAAGAGAACUUUAAAGGCUUUAAAAAAACUAAAUCUGCCAGAAUCCAGGUAGGGAGGAAGGAUAGCUCAGUGGUUUGAGCAUUGGCCCCCUAAACCCAGGAUUGUGAGUUCAGUCCUUGAUGGGGCCACUUAGGAAUUUGUGGCAAAAUCAGUACUUGGUCCUGCUAGUGAAGGCAGGGGGCUGGACUCAAUGACCUUUUAGGGUCCCUUCCAGUUCUAUGAGAUAGGUGUGUCUCUCUCUCUCUAUAUAUGUAUGUUUUUAACCCUGCAGUGCAUUUCCAUGGCCACCAGGCUUCUGAAGGGAAGUUCCACCCUGCAGAGAAGUAACUGCCCUUAUAAGUGCAAAGCUCAAGUAUACUGGCGGGAAUUUUGGACACACAAAAUAUGAAAUAUGCACAUCAGACAAUAUUAUUAGCUACCGAGAUAAGUAAAUCCAGAUAUAGCUUUGCCUUCUAGCUGUUGUUCAAUCAAUAGCAUUGCGCAAUAUUUGGCAUUCCAUUGCCUCAGAAACCAAGACCUACGUGAGUGAAUUGUUCUCAUUUCAUGGCAUCUAGCCAGACCAGGAUGCCUAGCCUCCAGCAGUAUGCAGCCUACUUGGGCUUAUCCCCUGGGAGAGGAGCGAGUUUCAGCAGUGAAGAAGAAACAUCAGUGAUGCCUCCACCCCAGCCAAGCUGGCUUGUCCCUUGCCCAAGAUCUCGCUCCCAAAGGGCUCUUUCUCUUGUUGUUGUUUUUCUUUGAAACGCCUUCAUGUUAAGCUGGCUAAUUAUGAGACUCUCCUGACGUCUCACAUUGACCCUGGGCCAUGCUCCAGGAGUAACUGCCCAAGCCAGCCAAUCAUCCCAAGCCUGCUGCUCAUUAAAUGAAGCAUGAGGCAGUGGGAUCUCCAAAAGGCCUGGCCAUGAUGAGAACUGGGCAGGGCAUGAGAGAGAAAAGCCGCACACUAAUGGAUUAAUGAUUUAUUCUCCUGAUGUUAACAUUAAAGUUAUGAUCCACUUUCUACUAAAUCACAGCUAAUGUUAGCAGCAGAUGCAUCCUAUUAGAACAUGCAGUCCAGCCUUUGCCUGUGGGGGAUUGUCCCAUACAAUAGCUAUUCCAGUGCUAGACACAAUUAAAUUUUAUAAUAAUUUUUUGGUAAUUGUCUCUGUUUGUGUAUAUACGUAACGCUCAUCGGAGGGACACGUCUGUAUUAUGUCUGUAUUAUGUAGAUUUUGUUAUCUAGAGGCUCCAACUGUGAUCACGGCCCCAUUGUGCUAGCCACUGUACAGACGCACAGUGAGAGACAGUGCCUGGCUCAACAAAACUUGCUGUCCAAUAACUAGGGCAGAAUUAUUGCCUCCAGUUGACAGAUGGGUAAUGGAGGCACAGGGAAGUUAAAUGGCGUGAGAUAAGGUCACACAAGAAAUUCUGUGGCAGGACUUGGAACUGAACUCCAAUCUCCUGAGUAUCAGUCUAGUGUCACAACUACAAGUCACUCCUUCAAACAGCAGAGUGCACCUCUACGACAGCUUAUAAAUGCUAAUUAAUAUGUUAAAAUGAACUGUUCCUGAGUUAUCAAGGAACCAAGAAUUAUUUACAGAAGUUAUUCCAUGAACAAUUUUGAGUAACAAAUUAAAGGAAAGCUGAAACUGCUGGCAAUUUGUGAACACAAAACAAGGAGAUGAAUUCAUUGAAUAAGUCAGAGGUUCUCCACCAUUUUACGUUGUGGACUACAUCUUUAAAGAGUGAUUAUUUCUUGGACCCUGUCCUCUCUGAUUGGCUGUCAUGCAGCCCACCACUCUUCAUGGUCUCAUAACAUUUCUCUGGCAGCUACAGUAAUAACCUAUGUAUAACUGUAACAUUAGGACAUUAUUUCAUGUAUCUGUAGCUGUCUUUUAAUAGAAUUCAGUAGUUGCAAAAAGGCAGGAGGAGCCCGGACCAUGUGACCAGCCAGUUCUGCACAGAUCACAGUUUGGGAACCACUGAACUAGUCACUGUGAGUUAUUAAUUCAUCUCUGCUAAGAAGGCUGGUAUGAGUUCCAUUACAUAAACUGAUAAUGACGUUUGUCCCUUCAUUACCUAUGAUUAGGCAGUAUGGGAUCUGAGUCUGUUCGUGCAUUUUGCUGCAGGUUAGGCAGGUGAUAAUGAAGUCCAUGUUGUAGAAAUGGCUACUGUUGGAGUGCAAAGGAUUUAAGGUAGAAUAUUGUUAUGAGUUGGGUUAAACCUUGUUAUGAGUUGAAUUAAAACUGCACCGAAACUGGUGUACAAAUGUGCCCUUCACUUAAGUUUGCUAUAAGGGACAGUUAUGGAGUCAUACCUAAAACAAGGCCUAUUCAUCAUCGGCAGUACAUGCAAUGUGCCCAGCCAUUUAAUGGCGUCAUCAUCAACCAGGUGAAGAGCUGUAGCCAGCCGUCAAAAUAAGUCAGUGGGCACUCGACCCUGAUAUGCAACAUAGUCUGAAGUUGACUACAGCUGCAUCGCGGGUCAUUAGAUAAACAUCAUUUAAAGAGACUGUCCAUACAGUUACCCUGUCCUGUUCGAAAUCGGUUCGGAGACAACCACAGGUGCCUGGGCAGAUCAAAACCUGGUAGACAGGAGGCCUAAUAGGGGAUGUCUACGCUGCAAUAAAAAACCUGUGGCACUGAGUCUCA
Molecule: long non-coding RNA, 2772 nt
Filed under: Gopherus agassizii (Agassiz's desert tortoise)
Lineage: Eukaryota; Metazoa; Chordata; Testudines; Testudinidae
Description: lncRNA (ENSGAGG00000004057.1)
Source: RNAcentral